This 216-nucleotide ribosomal RNA is filed under the name Campeiostachys nutans. Its description in RNAcentral is "Elymus nutans partial small subunit ribosomal RNA". The stretch from base 40 to 216 matches the Rfam family "Eukaryotic small subunit ribosomal RNA", at positions 686 to 864 of the family's 1831-position model. Lineage: Eukaryota; Viridiplantae; Streptophyta; Magnoliopsida; Poales; Poaceae. RNAcentral also lists the same sequence under 2 other names. The record is from RNAcentral.
GGGUCAGUAGGUUGGUCGUGCCACCGGUACGUACUGGUCUCACUGAUUCCUCCUUCCUGAAGAACCGUAAUGCCAUUAAUUUGGUGUUGCGGGGAAACAGGACUGUUACUUUGAAAAAAUUAGAGUGUUUAAAGCAAGCUAACGCUUGAAUACAUUAGCAUGGAAUAAUGAAAUAGGACGAUCGAUCCUAUUUUGUUGGUUUCUAGGAUUGACGUA